UGUCUCAGAUGGUAAAGAAUCCACUUACAAUGUGGAAAACCCAGGUUCAAUCCCUGG
This 57-nucleotide transfer RNA is filed under the name Bos taurus (domestic cattle). RNAcentral also lists the same sequence under 5 other names. Lineage: Eukaryota; Metazoa; Chordata; Mammalia; Artiodactyla; Bovidae. The record is from Rfam by way of RNAcentral.